RNAcentral lists this ribosomal RNA (519 nucleotides) under Fusarium tricinctum. RNAcentral describes it as "eukaryotic LSU rRNA". The stretch from base 150 to 303 matches the Rfam family "5.8S ribosomal RNA". The record is from RNAcentral. Lineage: Eukaryota; Fungi; Ascomycota; Sordariomycetes; Hypocreales; Nectriaceae.
GGGCUCGAGUAACUCCCAACCCCUGUGACAUACCUUAAUGUUGCCUCGGCGGAUCAGCCCGCGCCCCGUAAAACGGGACGGCCCGCCAGAGGACCCAAACUCUAAUGUUUCUUAUUGUAACUUCUGAGUAAAACAAACAAAUAAAUCAAAACUUUCAACAACGGAUCUCUUGGUUCUGGCAUCGAUGAAGAACGCAGCAAAAUGCGAUAAGUAAUGUGAAUUGCAGAAUUCAGUGAAUCAUCGAAUCUUUGAACGCACAUUGCGCCCGCUGGUAUUCCGGCGGGCAUGCCUGUUCGAGCGUCAUUUCAACCCUCAAGCCCCCGGGUUUGGUGUUGGGGAUCGGCUCUGCCUUCUGGCGGUGCCGCCCCCGAAAUACAUUGGCGGUCUCGCUGCAGCCUCCAUUGCGUAGUAGCUAACACCUCGCAACUGGAACGCGGCGCGGCCAUGCCGUAAAACCCCAACUUCUGAAUGUUGACCUCGGAUCAGGUAGGAAUACCCGCUGAACUUAAGCAUAUCAUA